RNAcentral lists this ribosomal RNA (446 nucleotides) under uncultured bacterium. RNAcentral's name for it is "partial 16S ribosomal RNA". It matches the Rfam family "Bacterial small subunit ribosomal RNA", at positions 338 to 795 of the family's 1533-position model. The record is from RNAcentral.
CCUACGGGUGGCAGCAGUCGAGAAUCAUUCACAAUGGGGGAAACCCUGAUGGUGCGACGCCGCGUGGGGGAAUGAAGGUCUUCGGAUUGUAAACCCCUGUCAUGUGGGAGCAAAUUAAAAAGAUAGUACCACAAGAGGAAGAGACGGCUAACUCUGUGCCAGCAGCCGCGGUAAUACAGAGGUCUCAAGCGUUGUUCGGCAUCACUGGGCGUAAAGCGUGCGUAGGCUGUUUCGUGAGUCGUGUGUGAAAGGCGCGGGCUCAACCCGCGGAUGGCACAUGAUACUGGGAGACUAGAGUAAGGGAGGGGGAACCGGAAUUCUCGGUGUAGCAGUGAAAUGCGUAGAUAUCGAGAGGAACACUCGUGGCGAAGGCGGGUUCCUGGACAUUAACUGACGCUGAGGCACGAAGGCCAGGGGAGCGAAAGGGAUUAGAUACCCGGGUAGUC